GAAAUAUAAUGUUUUAAGAAAAAGCUGCUAACUUUUAUCUUUAAUGGUUUAAAUCCAUUAAUAUUUCU
Molecule: transfer RNA, 68 nt
Filed under: Capnogryllacris melanocrania
Lineage: Eukaryota; Metazoa; Arthropoda; Insecta; Orthoptera; Gryllacrididae
Description: tRNA-Ser
Source: RNAcentral